CUUCACUUUCAUCCACAUCGACAACUUGAAGCUGUUGAGCAGAAGAACCUGCAGAUGACGUACGGCCCGUAUCCACAUCUGGGAUUCUUUGACUCUUUGCCAUCGCUCUAAACUUCCUGGCCUUUGGUUUUUAGACAAACAGGAAGCUGCUCAUAGACAUCUGCUCGUGGACAGAAGUAUAACCCCUGCUGGACAUGGUGCCGGGGCUCGGGGGGGACCCGAAUCGUCCCCAUCCCUUCAUUCACACAACACUCACUCAUAUCGCGGAGAUCUGGCUGGGAUCGAACCAGCAACCUCUGAACCGUGAGGCAGCGCUCUUACCUAUUAAGGGAUGUGUUUGAACAGAAGCAGAGCUCUGGGACGUGUGGACAGACUUUCACUGUAAUGAUGGACAUCCGCUCGUGGACAGACAUCCCCAGGAUGGGGGCCCAUCAAAGGUGACCCAACCCAAUGACGGAGCCACAUUGUCAUGAAAAGGGCUGGUGUGGAUCUCCUGUCCUGGCUCCAUCAGCUCUACAGUAGCAGGCUCUGGGCUAUCAGACCAGGGUGAGAAAGAUGAUCCUUCUCCAGGUCAAAGGUCACCUUCACACUGAGUGUUUCCUUGUAGAGGUUAAUAGACUGUUUCACUGUUCAUGAUUGUUACUGUUUUAUAAAUCUAUUUAUUCAUGAUUUCACAAUAAAUAUGCUACAUACAGUGUUGGAUGUCUGCAUGGAAAAUCUGAAAGAUAUUUCUUCACACACUAAAAUGCUACAACUGCCUGUUUGAAAUGAGGAGGUUUUAAACACGUCGAACAUAAAUGAGUGUAUGGACUGAAAAAGAGGUAGAAUUAAACAAAGGAUUUGUGGAGAAUGGUACUGUCAGCAUCAGAUGAGAAAAAUAAAUUAGAUCAUAAUAUUGGAGGAGUUACCUGUUCAAACACACAAGGUCCUGUUUUUCCUCCCGGGGAUAGACUCCAGUUGGUACCAGGCUGCUGAUAAGGAGGUGCAGAGUGUCCUGUGUCCUGACAACUCCUAAAUCACUUUCAAGGACACACACAUACCUCACAAUAAAAGAGAGAGUUCAGGCAACAUGGGCAAGAUUAUGCAAAUGUUAUUCUGAUGGUUCAGAGACACCAUGCAGAAUGUCUGACAUGUCAACCCUGUUUUGAAUCUGCUGCAUUCUUUUGUUAUGUUGCCUGUACUCCUCUGCCGUUUUAAGCUUUGAGUUUUAAUGUACACACACACACACACACACACACACACACACACACACUGGCCACCUGUGCCUCUGAGGGCAUGUUCAGUCUCUCCAUUUAUCAUUACACCAUAACUAUCUCACUAACAAACCAGGUAUCACCCCUCCAGGAAAACUGUUAAAGACUUUUCCAUGUGGGAGUAUGACAUGCUGGUGAAGUCUUGAACAGAGAAACAUGUAGUUAAUUUUGUGAAGUAAAAUUUUGUGAUUUUGUGAAGUGAAGUGAAAUAAAAUAAAAUACAACAAAAUUAUUUAGCAGAAAGCUUUCCUGAUAGUUUUUCUUUUACAAAAGUAAAUGGGUACUGCACCUGUCAUAAUCAAAAAAAUGACCAAAAAAUUGUCUCUUUGCCCAAUUGUCUCUAUGAUGUUCUGAGCCUAAAUAUGAAUUUAAUUAAAUUAAUCAUCUAGAUUAAAAUAUUUAGAUUUUUUGUGCUUGGAUCACAACAAAAUGUAAAUAAUAAUAAUAAUACUAUUCUAUUAAAUUAAUACCUAAAUCUAUUACUGUACAUAUGCACAUUAUUCUAUAUAUAUAUACACUAUCAUAAUUUCAUUCGUUUUUUUUGUGUUUUUUAUUUUAAUUUAAUUUUAUUGUUUUUAUGUGUAGGCUAUAUGUGCCUUUGGUUUUCAUAUUUUCUGUUUGGUUCAGCUUAAAAAAUAAUAACCCCAACUGAACUUUCUCUUUACAAGACAAAAAAUGUCACCAACACCCUGUGAAUUAAUAAAGUAUUUUAGUUAAAUUG
This is a long non-coding RNA of Cyprinus carpio (common carp), 1974 nucleotides long. RefSeq lists it as uncharacterized. Lineage: Eukaryota; Metazoa; Chordata; Actinopteri; Cypriniformes; Cyprinidae. The transcript has 6 exons. The record is from RefSeq and is a predicted model, not a curated record.